This is a long non-coding RNA of Orbicella faveolata, 784 nucleotides long. NCBI's taxonomy places the organism in Eukaryota, Metazoa, Cnidaria, Anthozoa, Scleractinia, Merulinidae. The record is from RefSeq and is a predicted model, not a curated record.
CUGAAAUUCUCAUUAAUAACACUGUAUUGCAAUCUGGAAGGAGAAUAAGGUUGACAGUAGGAACUUUUGGUUAAAUCUCAACUGGCGUGGCACAAAAAGGAUGAGUCUGUAAGAGUCAUAAUAUUAAAAAAUGAGUAUGUCUGUGUGUAUUCUUUUUUCCCAGUUGCAAAGCAAACAGUGAAAAGGCAGAAAGCUGAACUAGAGGCCAUAACGUCCAAACUUGCAGACAUGGAGACACUUGUUUCUAGCAAGGAUAUGGAACUGAGAGAACUCAAGAAAUUCACUGAAGGACUGAAAGGAACUUACCUUGGCAAGAUACAGAGCCUUGAAGAAAAAUAUAAUGCCCAAAAGAAGAUAACUCAAUCCAUAGAGUCUUAUAUCCUUGAUCUGCAGUCAUCCGUGGACAGUGAAAAAGAGAAAAUGGAGCACUACUCUUAGAACAUAUUUAAAUAAUAUAGUUUAAUGUAAUCUGCAUCAUCCUAAAAUUAUUUAUCUGUAUUGAAGUACAUUCCACAACAGGCUUCUGUUUGUUGGUAAAGCUUACUAACCAGAUGUAAUAUGUACAGUGUAGCUAGUUUAUUCCUUAAUUCUGUGGUCACUCACGGAAACCUUCUCAGUCUGGCCUACUUGAAUCCAUAGUUUCUUCUAAUAAGCAAUUCUAAAAUUAUGGUGUAGACCCUUUGCAUAAAUUUCUGCCACCUCUCCUCGGGACCAGUUUUCCAAAAUACCAAAAGUUUCCAAGUAAAUCACUAUAUUUGGAACCUCUUGUAAGUGACCACCUCUC